RNAcentral lists this ribosomal RNA (477 nucleotides) under uncultured bacterium. RNAcentral describes it as "bacterial SSU rRNA". It matches the Rfam family "Bacterial small subunit ribosomal RNA", at positions 365 to 832 of the family's 1533-position model. The record is from RNAcentral.
UUCGCAAUGCCCGAAAGGGUGACGAAGCGACGCCGCGUGCGGGAAGAAGGCCUUCGGGUUGUAAACCGCUGUCGGGAGUUAAGAAAUGCAAGGGUGUAAAUAGCAUCCUUGCUUGACUAAGGCUCCAGAGGAAGCCACGGCUAACUCUGUGCCAGCAGCCGCGGUAAUACAGAGGUGGCAAGCGUUGUUCGGAAUUAUUGGGCGUAAAGAGCACGUAGGCGGCUCUGCAAGUCAGCUGUGAAAGCCUUCUGCUUAACGGAAGAACAGCAGUUGAUACUACAGAGCUGGAGUGCGGGAGGGGAGAGUGGAACUUCUGGUGGAGCGGUGAAAUGCGUAGAUAUCAGAAGGAACGCCGGCGGCGAAAGCGACUCUCUGGCCCGUAACUGACGCUGAGUGUGCGAAAGCUAGGGGAGCAAACGGGAUUAGAUACCCCGGUAGUCCUAGCCGUAAACGAUGGGCACUAAGUAGAGGGGUUUU